AUAUGAGAGAGAGAGAGAGAGAGCAAGAGAGAGAGAAAGGGAAAGACGCUUACAUAUAUACAUAUAUUUCAUAAGAGCCUCUUCUUUUAUAUUGUUUGUUCUAUAUAC
This 108-nucleotide non-coding RNA is filed under the name Geminigera cryophila. Lineage: Eukaryota; Cryptophyceae; Pyrenomonadales; Geminigeraceae. The record is from RNAcentral.